CAAGUUUAUAAUUCUUAAUGUGUAAUUUUUAGGAAAAGCAAGGGCAUAGGACACAGAAGAGAUGUCCUGCAACAUACAUCAGCACUUGACUGUGACACACAAGGUCUCAGACCCGAAGGACAGAAAGAUUCUUCUGAGCCAGCACUCCAACAGGUAAUUCUUUCUCCGAUAGAGCUUUCUAACAUGAUGUGCUUCACAGAAAGCUUUCUGCAUCAAGAUACAGCGGACCUCUAAACUGCCCCAUGUGCCCAGCAAGAGAGCUGACUCACCUUGAUCAGCAUUUAGUAAAAUUCCACAAACCGCAGGCCACUGAAAUGAAGGAAAGAAUAAAAGCAGCAAAGAAAAUGUGCAUUAACAAAAAAUUGGCUAAUUAUCACAAACAGCAGGCAACUGGCAGCAUAACAGAGGUCACUAUGCUGAAGGAGAUAAUCAGAAAGAAACAAAGGAAAAUUUAUUUUCUAAGGGCUCAGCUAAAAGGGCAAAAAAUAAAGAGCUUAAAUAACAGAGGAUCUCAGGACUUCUCCAGUGUUGGGGAAAGAUCUGUUCAUUUCAGUCAGCCAAAUGACAAAAAAAGUGGAGGCAAAAGAAAGAAAAAACAACCAUCCUCACCUCAUUCUUCCAGUGAUGCUGAAACACAAUGCUGCCCCAAACAAGCUGUGGAAAAACCUGGAAAAAAAAGAGCCACCUCGCCAUCAGCAGAUACUUCCAGUGAUGAUGACACAUCUUCCAGCUUCAGAGACUCUGUAGAAAGACCUGUACAGCAAGGAAUAAAAAAAAGAAAAUGUGUUUCAUCCUCACCAGAUUAUUCCAGUGAUGAUGAAACCUUUACUCGACUCAAAACUCCUGCACAGCACCCUGGAAGAAAAGGAAAGUUCACAUGAACAAUCUUUUCGACAUGUUCACAUCAGCCAAUCCAUUAUGAAGUUGGUCUUUUCCACACUGUCCAUGGAGCUCAAGUCACUGAGCAAACAAAUAGCU
RNA transcript from Trichomycterus rosablanca, 978 nucleotides. RefSeq lists it as uncharacterized. The record is from RefSeq and is a predicted model, not a curated record. Lineage: Eukaryota; Metazoa; Chordata; Actinopteri; Siluriformes; Trichomycteridae. The transcript is spliced from 4 exons.